UCCGAUUUAUCAUCGGCAGUCUCGCUAGAGUGCUCAACUAAAUGGUAGCAACUAACAAUAGGGGUUGCGCUCGUUGCGGGACUUAACCCAACAUCUCACGACACGAGCUGACGACGGCCAUGCAACACCUGUCUAUACCCGGCCGAACCGAAACGAUCUGUUUCCAGAAAGUAAAAUAUAGAUGUCAAGGGCUGGUAAGGUUCCUCGCGUAUCAUCGAAUUAAACAACAUGCUCCACCGCUUGUGCGGGUCCCCGUCAAUUCCUUUGAGUUUUAAUCUUGCGAUCGUAAUCCCCAGGCGGUGUACUUAUCGCGUUAGCUUAGCCACCGACAUGUAAACAUGCCGAUAGCGAGUACACAUCGUUUAGGGCGUGGACUAC
Molecule: unclassified non-coding RNA, 378 nt
Filed under: uncultured Rhodospirillales bacterium
Lineage: Bacteria; Pseudomonadati; Pseudomonadota; Alphaproteobacteria; Rhodospirillales
Description: contains 16S-23S intergenic spacer region
Source: RNAcentral